AAGACGAACAAAAAUAUAUCAUUGAAUAUCAUGAAAAUGUAUUAUCGAAUAAAAAUAAUAAACAAAGUAGAUGCAUCAGUGUUUCUACAUAAUCCAUGCAAUCAUUGCUUCUCUAUUUUCAUUACAUAAAAGUCAUCUAAAUGUAACAAAAUAAUGAAUCAGAGGAACAAAUAAAAAUUCACUUCAUUUUAUCGCUGCAUGGAACGAAACUGAUAGCAUCAAACAAUAGCUAAUGAUAUCGGACUGUAAAUGUAAUGUGAAUUGUAUCAGUAAAAAACUAAAAUUCUUUUUGUAGACUGAAACAGUACAAGACACCUUAGAUUAACGCGAAACUUAUUACGCUAUUUUUUCGAAACUAAGUAAUCGCUGUAAUCAAGUGUACGUGUAAUUAAUUUCAUUACAGUGACAGCCCGUAUACCAAAAUCAACCAGGUCUAGGACCCAUGCAUUCAUUUGACAAUUUUUCAUUUUACGAAUAAGUAAAAUGAAACGAAUUCUUAUUUUGGAAGCGAUUACAGGAUUUUCGUAAUGUAUUUAUUCAUUAUGUAUACAAAAUGCACUGCAAAAUCAUAUCCCUACCAAAAAUAAUAUAAGAGCCACUGAAUAUGUGUGGUUUGGCUAGACCUGACUGAUUAAGUUGGAAGUUUCUCACCUGUCCACUGAGGGAACUUACACGCCCUCCGUAUUGUAGCUUGGGCGGAGAACGAGCUGUAGCUUUUAUCAUAGUGGAUGUCUGCAUAUCAGUCAAUUUUUUAAUACAGCGUUGCCCGGCGACGAUAUUACAGACCUAAUAACACGUUUAACAAACCUCGAGGGGUAGAUAUGUGUGCUUAUGCUCUUGUCCAACUUGAAGACACGGAAGAUGCGGAUGACGUUGGGCUUUGUAAAAUGCAGUUGCAGAGACUAUAAUACAAACAAUAUAAUUCAGAUUGAUGGAAACCAAACCAUACUUCUCUACCACCACCUAGUGGAUGAUAAUAUCCAUCUGGUGUACUAAAGAAUGAUCUACCUACAGGAG
Molecule: long non-coding RNA, 1017 nt
Organism: Osmia bicornis bicornis
Lineage: Eukaryota; Metazoa; Arthropoda; Insecta; Hymenoptera; Megachilidae
Exons: 6
Source: RefSeq, a predicted model, not a curated record